RNAcentral lists this non-coding RNA (130 nucleotides) under human gut metagenome. RNAcentral describes it as "FMN riboswitch (RFN element)". It matches the Rfam family "FMN riboswitch aptamer (RFN element)". From Rfam's summary of the family: The RFN element is a highly conserved domain that is found frequently in the 5'-untranslated regions of prokaryotic mRNAs that encode for flavin mononucleotide (FMN) biosynthesis and transport proteins. This element is a metabolite-dependent riboswitch that directly binds FMN in the absence of proteins. The record is from RNAcentral.
UAUCUUCGGGGUUUGGUGAAAUUCCAUACCGGCGGUGAGGGCGUUUUUGCUCAUAGUCCGCGACCCUGUUUUUUGCAGGCUGAACAGGUGCGAAUCCUGUACCGACGGUAAAGUCCGGAUGAGAGAAGAU